RNAcentral lists this ribosomal RNA (494 nucleotides) under uncultured bacterium. Its description in RNAcentral is "partial 16S ribosomal RNA". It matches the Rfam family "Bacterial small subunit ribosomal RNA", at positions 28 to 507 of the family's 1533-position model. The record is from RNAcentral.
GACGAACGCUGGCGGCGUGCUUAACACAUGCAAGUCGAACGGAGAGGCCUGCUUUCCCUUGUGGAUUGCGGGUACUCGAGUGGCGAACGGGUGAGUAACACGUGAGUGAUCUGCCCCCAACUUGGGUAUAAGCCUGGGAAACUGGGUCUAAUUCCCGAUAGGACUGCAGGGUGGUGCCUGUGGUGGAAAACGAUUUUCUAGUGGUUGGGGAUGAGCUCGCGGCCUAUCAGCUUGUUGGUGGGGUAAUGGCCUACCAAGGCGGCGACGGGUAGCCGGCCUGAGGGGGUGGACGGUCACAUUGGGACUGAGAUACGGCCCAGACUCCUACGGGAGGCAGCAGUGGGGAAUAUUGCACAAUGGGCGGAAGCCUGAUGCAGCGACGCCGCGUGGGGGAUGACAGCCUUCGGGUUGUAAACUCCUUUCGACCGCGAGGAAGCCACCUGGUUGGAAGGGUGGUGACGGUAGUGGUAGAAGAAGCACCGGCUAACUACGUG